RNAcentral lists this transfer RNA (62 nucleotides) under Pectinopygus varius. RNAcentral's name for it is "tRNA-Gly". The record is from RNAcentral. Lineage: Eukaryota; Metazoa; Arthropoda; Insecta; Psocodea; Philopteridae.
AUCUCCCUAUUAUAAAGAGUAAGUCUAAUUUCCAAUUAGAAAGUCCCAAAUGGGGGGGGAUA